This 253-nucleotide ribosomal RNA is filed under the name uncultured bacterium. Its description in RNAcentral is "partial 16S ribosomal RNA". It matches the Rfam family "Bacterial small subunit ribosomal RNA", at positions 524 to 776 of the family's 1533-position model. The record is from RNAcentral.
UACGUAGGUGGCAAGCGUUGUCCGGAUUUAUUGGGUUUAAAGGGUGCGUAGGCGGCUUUGUAAGUCAGCGGUGAAAAUUUUGGGCUUAACCCAGAAACUGCCAUUGAUACUGCAGAGCUUGAAUUCAAACGAGGUAGGCGGAAUUGAAGGUGUAGCGGUGAAAUGCAUAGAUAUCUUCAAGAACACCGAUAGCGAAGGCAGCUUACUAGAAUGAUAUUGACGCUGAGGCACGAAAGCGUGGGGAGCAAGCAGG